ACGAAGGUCCCGAGCGUUAUCCGGAAUUAUUGGGCGUAAAGCGCAUGUAGGCGGUUUAUUAAGUCUGAUGUGAAAGCUCACGGCCUAACCGUGAAAUUGCAUUGGAAACUGGUGAACUAGAAUACUGGAGGGGUAAGUGGAAUUCCAUGUGUAGCGGUGGAAUGCGUAGAUAUAUGGAGGAACACCAAUGGCGAAGGCAGCUUACUGGACAGAGAUUGACGCUGAGAUGCGAAAGCGUGGGGAGCAAACAGG
Molecule: ribosomal RNA, 252 nt
Filed under: uncultured bacterium
Lineage: Bacteria
Description: partial 16S ribosomal RNA
Rfam family: Bacterial small subunit ribosomal RNA
Source: RNAcentral